RNAcentral lists this ribosomal RNA (431 nucleotides) under Candidatus Saccharimonadota bacterium. RNAcentral's name for it is "bacterial SSU rRNA". It matches the Rfam family "Bacterial small subunit ribosomal RNA", at positions 660 to 1093 of the family's 1533-position model. Lineage: Bacteria; Candidatus Saccharimonadota. The record is from RNAcentral.
ACUGGAAUUUCUUGUGUAGGAGUGAAAUCCGUAGAUAUAAGAAGGAACACCAUGGCGUAGGCAGGUGACUGGACCAUUUCUGACGCUAAGGCACGAAAGCGUGGGGAGCGAACCGGAUUAGAUACCCGGGUAGUCCACGCCGUAAACGAUGGAUACUGCUGUUGGAGGUAUCGACCCCUUCGUAGCGAAGCUAACGCGUUAAGUAUCCCGCCUGUGGAGUACGGCCGCAAGGCUAAAACAUAAAGGAAUUGACGGGGACCCGCACAAGCGGUGGAUCGUGUUCUUUAAUUCGAUGUAAACGAAGAACCUUACCAGGGCUUGACAUCCAGGGAAGUUCUGCGAAAGUGGACUGUGCCUUUUGGAACCCUGUGACAGGUGAUGCAUGGCCGUCGUCAGCUCGUGUCGUGAGAUGUUUGGUUAAGUCCAUCAAC